RNAcentral lists this transfer RNA (72 nucleotides) under Bos taurus (domestic cattle). It matches the Rfam family "tRNA". From Rfam's summary of the family: Transfer RNA (tRNA) molecules are approximately 80 nucleotides in length. Their secondary structure includes four short double-helical elements and three loops (D, anti-codon, and T loops). Further hydrogen bonds mediate the characteristic L-shaped molecular structure. tRNAs have two regions of fundamental functional importance: the anti-codon, which is responsible for specific mRNA codon recognition, and the 3' end, to which the tRNAs corresponding amino acid is attached (by aminoacyl-tRNA synthetases). tRNAs cope with the degeneracy of the genetic code in two manners: having more than one tRNA (with a specific anti-codon) for a particular amino acid; and 'wobble' base-pairing, i.e. permitting non-standard base-pairing at the 3rd anti-codon position. The record is from Rfam by way of RNAcentral. RNAcentral also lists the same sequence under 5 other names. Lineage: Eukaryota; Metazoa; Chordata; Mammalia; Artiodactyla; Bovidae.
UCCCUGGUGGCUCAGAUGGUAGAGCGUCUGCCUGCAAUGCGGGAGACCCGGGUUCGAUUCCUGGGUCGGGAA